RNAcentral lists this ribosomal RNA (520 nucleotides) under uncultured bacterium. Its description in RNAcentral is "bacterial SSU rRNA". It matches the Rfam family "Bacterial small subunit ribosomal RNA", at positions 8 to 521 of the family's 1533-position model. The record is from RNAcentral.
AGAGUUUGAUCCUGGCUCAGAUUGAACGCUGGCGGCAUGCUUUACACAUGCAAGUCGAACGGCAGCAUAGGUGCUUGCACCUGAUGGCGAGUGGCGAACGGGUGAGUAAUAUAUCGGAACGUGUCCGGAAGUGGGGGAUAACGCAGCGAAAGUUGCGCUAAUACCGCAUAUGCCCUGAGGGGGAAAGGAGGGGAUCGCAAGACCUUUCGCUUUCGGAGUGGCCGAUAUCGGAUUAGCUAGUUGGUGGGGUAAAGGCCCACCAAGGCGACGAUCCGUAGCUGGUCUGAGAGGACGACCAGCCACACUGGGACUGAGACACGGCCCAGACUCCUACGGGAGGCAGCAGUGGGGAAUUUUGGACAAUGGGCGCAAGCCUGAUCCAGCCAUGCCGCGUGAGUGAAGAAGGCCUUCGGGUUGUAAAGCUCUUUCGGACAGAAAGAAAUCGCACAGGCUAAUACUCUGUGUGGAUGACGGUACUGUAAGAAGAAGCACCGGCUAACUACGUGCCAGCCGCCGCGGU